RNAcentral lists this ribosomal RNA (750 nucleotides) under uncultured methane-oxidizing archaeon. RNAcentral's name for it is "bacterial SSU rRNA". It matches the Rfam family "Archaeal small subunit ribosomal RNA", at positions 105 to 859 of the family's 1478-position model. The record is from RNAcentral.
CAACUUACCCUUGGGACYGGGAUAACUCCUGGGAAACUGGAGAUAAUACCGGAUAGAGCAUCGAAUGCUGGAAUGCACUGAUGUUCAAAAGCUGAGGUGCCCAAGGAUAGGUCUGCGGCCGAUUAGGUUGUUGUUGAUGUGAUGGAUUAACAAGCCUACGAUCGGUAYGGGUUGUGAGAGCAAUAGCCCAGAGAUGGGUUCUGAGAAAAGAACCCAGGUCCUACGGGACGCAUCAGGCGCGAAAACUUUACAAUGUGCGAAAGCACGAUAAGGGAACUCUGAGUGCCUCCUACGGAGGCUGUUCAGKUGUCUAAAACGCAUYUGAAGKAAGGGCUGGGUAAGACCGGUGCCAGCCGCCGCGGUAACACCGGCAGCCCAAGUGGUAKCCAUGUUUAUUGGGUCUAAAGCGUCCGUAGCCGGCCACGUAAGUUCCUUGGGAAAUUUAAYCGCUUAACGGUUAAGCUUUCRGGGAAUACUGCUUGGCUUGGGACCGGGAGAGGUCAGAGGUACUCYAAGGGUAGGGGUGAAAUCCAUUAAUCCUUGGGGGACCACCGGUAGCGAAGGCGUCUGACCAGACCGGAUCCGACGGUGAGGGACGAAGGCUAGGGUCACGAACCGGAUUAGAUACCCGGGUAGUCCUAGCUGUAAACGAUGCGGGCCAGGUGUUGGCAUUACUGCGAGUGAUGCCAGUGCCGAAGGGAAGCCGUUAAGCCCGCCAUCUGGGGAGUACGGUCGCAAGGCUGAACUUAA